AUUAGGGCUUGGUCAUGGCAUUCAUAAAGAGUUCUCCAACUUUAGUGGUUCUACAGACUUAACAUUACAUCAGUUGAAAGUUAAGUAUAAGAACACAACUAAAAGAAAAAGAAUGGCAAUUGCAUACAAGAGAUCAUGCAGUCAAACUGGAGGAGGGAGAGGAGAUAUAUGUCCUCCUGAACUGGACCCGGAUGAGUCCUCUGACAUUGAUCCGGCUUUGGAGCCUAACCACGGUUUCCUUGAUU
Molecule: long non-coding RNA, 245 nt
Organism: Eurytemora carolleeae
Lineage: Eukaryota; Metazoa; Arthropoda; Copepoda; Calanoida; Temoridae
Exons: 3
Source: RefSeq, a predicted model, not a curated record